Non-coding RNA from Lonchura striata (white-rumped munia), 400 nucleotides. Lineage: Eukaryota; Metazoa; Chordata; Aves; Passeriformes; Estrildidae. The record is from RefSeq and is a predicted model, not a curated record.
GCCUGUGACUGAUGCUGCAGGAAGGCUGAGCCAAGAGGCCACUGGAGCCAUCUCUUGGUGCUCCAGGACUUGGACUCUGCCCUGAAGUUGACUACAGAAGUUCCAGAGUCUCCUUUAGCAGCUCUGCUUUCAGCAGAAAGGAAGCACCAAAAAUGAGAGAUUUUUGAAGGCAAAGUUUCAACCUCUGCUGGAUGAGAGAGACCCUACAUUUCAAGAGCCAAGGAUGCCAAAUGACACAAAAGAUACUUUGUGUUCUUGAUCCCAGUGGUGAUGUCUCCUCUGUGAACAUUUCCUUUCAGGAAAGUUUGACUUCCCUGAUACAUUCUAUGAUUCUAAAAGGGAAGUAUUUUACUCUUGUAAUACCCAAGUGUAAAUGACUCAGAACAAAUAUAAAUUUUGU